This 253-nucleotide ribosomal RNA is filed under the name uncultured bacterium. Its description in RNAcentral is "partial 16S ribosomal RNA". It matches the Rfam family "Bacterial small subunit ribosomal RNA", at positions 524 to 776 of the family's 1533-position model. The record is from RNAcentral.
UACGGGGGGGGCAAACGUUGUUCGGAAUUACUGGGCGUAAAGGGCUCGUAGGUGGCCAACUAAGUCCGACGUGAAAUCCCUCGGCUUAACCGGGGAACUGCGUCUGAUACUGGAUGGCUUGAGUUUGGGAGAGGGAUGCGGAAUUCCAGGUGUAGCGGUGAAAUGCGUAGAUAUCUGGAGGAACACCGGUGGCGAAGGCGGCAUCCUGGACCAAUACUGACGCUGAGGAGCGAAAGCCAGGGGAGCAAACGGG